AGAGUUUGAUCAUGGCUCAGAAUCAACGCUGGCGGCGUGCCUAACACAUGCAAGUCGAACGAGAAAGCGGGGGCAACUCCGCGAGUACAGUGGCGAACGGGUGAGUAACACGUGACUAACCUGCCUUCGAGUGGGGGAUAACUCCGGGAAACCGGGGCUAAUACCGCAUAACAUCGCGAGGUGAAAUUCCUUGUGAUCAAAUGCGCAAGUAGCUUGAAGAGGGGGUCGCGGCUGAUUAGCUAGUUGGUGAGGUAACGGCUCACCAAGGCGAUGAUCAGUAGCCGGCCUGAGAGGGCGCACGGCCACACUGGAACUGAAACACGGUCCAGACUCCUACGGGAGGCAGCAGUGGGGAAUUUUGCGCAAUGGGGGAAACCCUGACGCAGCAACGCCGCGUGGAGGAUGAAGUCCCUUGGGACGUAAACUCCUUUCGACCGGGACGAAUAUUGACGGUACCGGUGGAAGAAGCCCCGGCUAACUUCGUGCCAGCAGCCGCGGUAAUUC
RNAcentral lists this ribosomal RNA (504 nucleotides) under uncultured bacterium. RNAcentral describes it as "bacterial SSU rRNA". It matches the Rfam family "Bacterial small subunit ribosomal RNA", at positions 8 to 526 of the family's 1533-position model. The record is from RNAcentral.